This 497-nucleotide ribosomal RNA is filed under the name uncultured bacterium. RNAcentral describes it as "partial 16S ribosomal RNA". It matches the Rfam family "Bacterial small subunit ribosomal RNA", at positions 28 to 507 of the family's 1533-position model. The record is from RNAcentral.
GAUGAACGCUGGCGGCGUGCCUAAUACAUGCAAGUCGAGCGAACAGACGAGGAGCUUGCUCCUCUGACGUUAGCGGCGGACGGGUGAGUAACACGUGGAUAACCUACCUAUAAGACUGGGAUAACUUCGGGAAACCGGAGCUAAUACCGGAGAAUAUAUUGAACCGCAUGGUUCAAUAGUGAAAGACGGUUUUGCUGUCACUUAUAGAUGGAUCCGCGCCGCAUUAGCUAGUUGGUAAGGUAACGGCUUACCAAGGCAACGAUGCGUAGCCGACCUGAGAGAGUGAUCGGCCACCCUGGAGCUGAGACACGGUCCAGACUACUACGGGAGGCAGCAGUAGGGAAUCUUCCGCAAUGGGCGAGAGCCUGACGGAGCAACGCCGCGUGAGUGAUGACGGUCUUCGGAUCGUAAAACUCUGUUAUUAGGGAAGAACAAAUGUGUAAGUAACUAUGCACGUCUUGACGGUACCUAAUCAGAAAGCCACGGCUAACUACGUG